UAGCGGAGCGUGUGGUUUAAUUCGAUAUUACACGAAGAACCUUACCAGGGUUUGACAUGCAUGUGGUAGAGAAGCGAAAGUGGAUCGACCCUUCGGGGAGCAUGCGCAGGUGUUGCAUGGCUGUCGUCAGCUCGUGUCGUGAGAUGUUCGGUUAAGUCCGCUAACGAGCGCAACCCCUGCCGUGUGUUACAUGUGUCACACGGGACUGCCAGUCUUAAGCUGGAGGAAGGUGGGGAUGACGUCAAGUCAGCAUGACCUUUAUGUCCUGGGCUACACACACGCUACAAUGGGUAGUACAACGGGUAGCGAAGCCGCGAGGCGGAGCCAAUCCACAAAGCUAUCCUCAGUUCAGAUUGCAGGCUGCAACCCGCCUGCAUGAAGAUGGAGUUGCUAGUAACCGCAUAA
Molecule: ribosomal RNA, 405 nt
Filed under: uncultured bacterium
Lineage: Bacteria
Description: bacterial SSU rRNA
Rfam family: Bacterial small subunit ribosomal RNA
Source: RNAcentral